RNAcentral lists this ribosomal RNA (253 nucleotides) under uncultured bacterium. RNAcentral's name for it is "partial 16S ribosomal RNA". It matches the Rfam family "Bacterial small subunit ribosomal RNA", at positions 524 to 776 of the family's 1533-position model. The record is from RNAcentral.
UACGGAGGGAGCUAGCGUUGUUCGGAAUUACUGGGCGUAAAGCGCACGUAGGCGGCUUGGCAAGUCGGAUGUGAAAGCCCUCGGCUCAACCAAGGAAGUGCAUCCGAAACUGCUGAGCUUGAGUACUUAAGAGGAUCGCGGAAUUCCCGGUGUAGAGGUGAAAUUCGUAGAUAUCGGGAGGAACACCAGUGGCGAAGGCGGCGAUCUGGGAAGAUACUGACGCUGAGGUGCGAAAGCGUGGGGAGCAAACAGG